GAGAAGCUGAAUGUUGAAGGCCCAGACGCUGUAGACCUUUUUCCUCCUGCUGCUGCCUCAUAGCCUGCAUGGUUUUUGCUGUCUUCUCCUAACUCUACAUCUCAGAGCCUCCCUCACCAUUUCAGGGCCCAGACUGAAAUCGCCAUUUCUCUAAUGGAUAGAUCUGUCUUGCUAUACAUCCUUGAAGUUGCUGCAUACCAUCGAAAUCUCCCACACCACCUCCCUGCCAAGUGACCCCCAUGUCCAUCAAGGGCCUGAGAAAGUCUUUUUCCUUAAGUCACAUCCCUGCUCAGACUCCAGAUAUUUCGCUCAGCUGAGGGGAUAUGCCCGAGCAUGGUCUUAGCUCUUCCUCUGAGCUAUCUGAAAAUACCACCAGUGGCAGCACAUAGCCACCUUGCCAUCUGCCUUCCCCGCCUCCUGGUGACAUCUCUCCAUCACUGCCAUCAUUCCACUGGACUUAACCUUUAUAGCAAAAACACAGGAGUCCUGCUGGGGAUUUAGUUCUUGCUGUUCAUGGCUGUAUCAGUUGAAUCGGAAGCUUCCAAGUGGCCCUUCAUGCAGGAAGAUGUUUAUUCCCCACAGCAUACCAGCACCAAAUCCCAGGCCCUCAAUCUGUUUAGAAACCUGUAUCCCUACUUACCCAAAUAAAGAGGUCAGACCAGAUGUGGGAAGGAAAGUAA
This is a long non-coding RNA of Canis lupus familiaris (dog), 680 nucleotides long. RefSeq lists it as uncharacterized. The transcript has 4 exons. The record is from RefSeq and is a predicted model, not a curated record. Lineage: Eukaryota; Metazoa; Chordata; Mammalia; Carnivora; Canidae.